Molecule: long non-coding RNA, 693 nt
Organism: Spinacia oleracea (spinach)
Lineage: Eukaryota; Viridiplantae; Streptophyta; Magnoliopsida; Caryophyllales; Amaranthaceae
Exons: 3
Source: RefSeq, a predicted model, not a curated record
UCUUAUGUGAGAAUAAAUGUGAGCCUUCGGAUAUUUUCUAAUCUAAAGGCUGAAAUCAAUAGCUUAAUAAUGGCAUUUUUGUAAAUUCGAUAAACUAUUACUCGACCAGCUUCUUCCUCUUUCACGCCUAAUUGCUUCUCUCUCUAAAAUCGGACAAGUUCUCAUCUCUCUCCCUCUUCAUUGUGUCGGUGUAUCAAGCUCGAAUUUCUCUUAAAUUUCGUUCUAAUUGCUGCGAUUUAAUCCACGUUCUCGAAUAUAUUAAUCUAAUUUCCGGAUUUGGUGUGGUUUUAAAGCCUUACCCAAAUCAAGGACCUGAAGAAGCCAUUUAAACCACUGAAGGAUCUACACAUGGAGGAAGUCGUUGCCGAUAUUAUCAAGAAGCCAUUUAAGCAUAUUUUUUUAAGUAAUUUUAUACAGGGUUUUUGCUUUUUGUUGCUAAUUUUCUUUUGAGGACAUUAUUAUACUGCUUGUAAUAAAUAAUGUGGUACAUGAUCUUUUAUUUAUCAUUGUAGUUUUGUCUAAGAUUUAAAUAUAUUUUUGUAUAUUUUUUGCGAUAUGGUGCAAGGUCUCAGGAGCAGUCUUGAAUUCUUGAUGCACCUCCAGUUGCUUACAGAUGUACAUUGGUUGAUUUUGUUCAACUCAGCACCUCAUCUUGCUGAAUAUAGAACAUUGUUGGUUUCCUGUGUUCUCAAA